Molecule: transfer RNA, 104 nt
Filed under: Sporisorium scitamineum
Lineage: Eukaryota; Fungi; Basidiomycota; Ustilaginomycetes; Ustilaginales; Ustilaginaceae
Description: transfer RNA-Arg(TCG)
Rfam family: tRNA
About the family: Transfer RNA (tRNA) molecules are approximately 80 nucleotides in length. Their secondary structure includes four short double-helical elements and three loops (D, anti-codon, and T loops).
Source: RNAcentral
GGGUCUUUAGCUCAGCGGUAGAGCGGCAGACUUCGGUUCUUGAGACUGAAGUGUUUCUUCCUGGUGUUUUCUGCAGGUCGCGGGUUCAAUCCCCGUAGGACUCU